This is a long non-coding RNA of Seriola dumerili (greater amberjack), 614 nucleotides long. RefSeq lists it as uncharacterized. The transcript is spliced from 3 exons. NCBI's taxonomy places the organism in Eukaryota, Metazoa, Chordata, Actinopteri, Carangiformes, Carangidae. The record is from RefSeq and is a predicted model, not a curated record.
GCAGCUUCCUCGACGAGACACCAGCAGGGAGAGUGGAAAGCUUUGGGGGAGACCUGCAGAGACACAACGGCAGCGGCAGACACGGAGAGCAGAGCAUCUCUGUCGAUCAGUUCUUUUCCAGCGUCUACCUCCUCCGGCUCAGUCAGCGAACUGUCAUGGCAGGUCACUCCAGGGUGUAGCAGCGCUCCUCCCUCAGCUGCAGACGGGGAACCCUGCUGCUCUCAGGAGAGGGAAGAUCAGCAGUCAUCAUUCAGAGCUCAGAUCUCCAAAAUUGAACAGUUCCUCAACACAGAGAGACUCCGUCUGCCCAAAAGACGAAGGAUUGACGAUUAAAACCACCAAACUUAUCGCUGUAUUUAAGGGGACCCGGCUUCGCAGCUCUGAGAUUGACAGUUUGAAAAAGUUUAGAUGUUCUGUCACUUUAACUAUGCGGGUGGAUUACUCGUUCCUUUCAACUGUAGGGUUGGAUCUUACUUCACAGAUUAUAUGUUUUAUUUGCAAAGUUAUUUGCCAGUUGCCUGUUGACAUUACUGUGACAAAUUAAUGCUUUUUAUUCGAGUGGACGGAUGCUCUGUUCAUUUGUUGUUGCUGUGUAUUUGUAGGUAAGCAGGAGA